ACGAACGCUGGCGGCGUGCUUAACACAUGCAAGUCGAACGGACGGACCGGACCGAAGCCUCGGGCGGAGGACCGGCGAGUUAGUGGCGGACGGGUGAGUAACGCGUGGGUAACCUGCCCUGUACAGGGGGACAACAGCUGGAAACGGCUGCUAAUACCGCGUACGCUGCACAGAUCGCAUGGUCAGUGCAGGAAAGAUGGCCUCUUAGCAAUGCUAUCGGUACAGGAUGGACCCCGCGUCUGAUUAGGUAGUUGGUGAGGUAACGGCUCACCCAAGCCGACGAUCAGUAGCCGGCCUGAGAGGGUGGCCGGCCACAUUGGGACUGAGACACGGCCCAGACUCCUACGGGAGGCAGCAGUGGGGAAUCUUCCGCAAUGGGCGCAAGCCUGACGGAGCAACGCCCGCGUGAGUGAAGAAGGCCUUCGGGUCGUAAAGCUCUGUCUUUAGGGACGAAAAACCGUAGUGAAAACAUUGCUACGGCCUGACGGUACCUGAGGAGGAAGCUCCGGCUAACUACGUGCCAGCCGCCGC
Molecule: ribosomal RNA, 531 nt
Filed under: uncultured bacterium
Lineage: Bacteria
Description: bacterial SSU rRNA
Rfam family: Bacterial small subunit ribosomal RNA
Source: RNAcentral